RNAcentral lists this ribosomal RNA (274 nucleotides) under uncultured bacterium. Its description in RNAcentral is "partial 16S ribosomal RNA". It matches the Rfam family "Bacterial small subunit ribosomal RNA", at positions 523 to 796 of the family's 1533-position model. The record is from RNAcentral.
AUACGAAAGGUGCAAGCGUUGUUCGGAUUUACUGGGCGUAAAGAGAGUGUAGGUUGUUUAUUAAGUCGGAUGUGAAAUCCCGGGGCUCAACCUCGGAACUGCAUUCGAUACUGAUAGGCUAGAGUUUGGGAGGGGUAAGCGGAAUUCCGUGUGUGGCAGUGAAAUGCGUAGAUAUACGGAGGAACACCUGAGGCGAAGGCGGCUUACUGGACCAAUACUGACACUGAGACUCGAAAGCGUGGGUAGCAAACAGGAUUAGAAACCCCAGUAGUCC